AUUGAACGCUGGCGGCAGGCUUAACACAUGCAAGUCGAGCGGGGUGAUGGUGCUUGCACUAUCACCUAGCGGCGGACGGGUGAGUAAUGCUUAGGAAUCUGCCUAUUAGUGGGGGACAACAUCUCGAAAGGGAUGCUAAUACCGCAUACGUCCUACGGGAGAAAGCAGGGGAUCACUUGUGACCUUGCGCUAAUAGAUGAGCCUAAGUCGGAUUAGCUAGUUGGUGGGGUAAAGGCCUACCAAGGCGACGAUCUGUAGCGGGUCUGAGAGGAUGAUCCGCCACACGGGGACUGAGACACGGCCCAGACUCCUACGGGAGGCAGCAGUGGGGAAUAUUGGACAAUGGGGGGAACCCUGAUCCAGCCAUGACGCGUGUGUGAAGAAGGCCUUAUGGUUGUAAAGCACUUUAAGCGAGGAGGAGGCUCUUUUGGUUAAUACCCAAGAUGAGUGGACGUUACUCGCAGAAUAAGCACCGGCUAACUCUGUGCCAGCCGCCGCAGUAA
Molecule: ribosomal RNA, 503 nt
Filed under: uncultured bacterium
Lineage: Bacteria
Description: partial 16S ribosomal RNA
Rfam family: Bacterial small subunit ribosomal RNA
Source: RNAcentral